Molecule: long non-coding RNA, 1136 nt
Filed under: Capra hircus (goat)
Lineage: Eukaryota; Metazoa; Chordata; Mammalia; Artiodactyla; Bovidae
Description: lncRNA (ENSCHIG00000001335.1)
Source: RNAcentral
AACCCUCUGGGAGGCAGCCCGUGACAUCUUGUCCAGCGGAAGGAGACUGUGUCCCACCCUGCUCAUGGAUGCCCUGCUCUUUAGUACAAAAUCCACACCCUCCCUGUGGGACCGUGAUGGACAAAUAGAGUGACCAGAGGCAGCCGUGGCCCAGCCAGCCGCAGCCCACACCUCACAGAAGAGGAGACAGUCUGUGAGCACAAUGUUCCGUCAUCAGAGUCAACUACUUUCCAGCCCUGAGGUGGGGAUGUUUCAGUUUGGAGACAGAGCACAGAGGACUGGUGUGGAUGGUCCUGGAAGCAAGGGGGCCAGCCCAGCCCCUUCUCCCCAGCCUGGCUCCUGACCUCUGUCCUGUGUGCGCCUGACACUCCCGCUUCCUCCUCCCGGAUUGCCUGCCGUCCAGUCCCUGUGGUCACACCCGCACAUCAGGACAACUCCCCCACCAUGUGGAAGGGGCGAGUCAGGAAACUCAGCGGCACAGGGACCUGAUCACACUACACACAGGCUUUCACGGGACUUUAUCCUAUUUAUGGGCAUCUCGGUCAUGAUUAACACAGGCCCCAGGGACCAAAAGUUCCCCUCAGUGCUUCUGAAGAUGCUGGGUAAUGUUAGUGCAGGGAGGUUAUACGCACUUUCUGCAUCUCGGCCCUGCAGCACAGCAAUUGCUGUUGGUGGAAGUCAUCAUCCUAAUUCUCUCAGUCAUCUUUGCAAUUAGUUCUCAUUUACUUCUAGUACCACAUGACUGCACGCUUCUUAGACUGGAAAAUACACAGCCUGAAUUCUGUGCAGGGAGGAUGCAAAAGUGGAGCAUCAAGUUUAUCAACAGGAAUUGGAAGAAGCAAUGAGUUGACAAGAACUCUCCCCCUCCCCCUCUCACGUGGAGGACAGAAGAAUCGGGUAGGGAGACACGCCCAGGAGAGGCAGUCCAGUCUCUGCGGUUUCAGCCGAGUCCUCCAGGGACAGCAUGGACCCAGCCUCCAGCCUGCUGACCACUGGUGGACAGGUCUGGGACAACUGACAGCAGGGCCCUGUGGGUCCAGGUCAGCUGGCUGCAUGUUCAGGAGCAGGAUCCCUGGUAGCGGCUCUUCAUGUCUUUCAGUUCUUAACAAGAUAUAUGAUGGGCAAGUAUCUUCUCU